GAGAGAUGGUGAAAUGUGCCCAGGCAGGGCAAAGCCACAGGGAUUUCUGCAGCAGUCCUGACGUGCAAAUCACCCUUCUGACCUGGGUGCAGGGACAAAGGACUCAAUGAACCACCCAGUGGUU
Non-coding RNA from Podarcis lilfordi (Lilford's wall lizard), 124 nucleotides. The record is from the annotation of a GenBank genome assembly. Lineage: Eukaryota; Metazoa; Chordata; Lepidosauria; Squamata; Lacertidae.